CCUACGGGAGGCAGCAGUCGAGAAUCAUUCACAAUGGGGGAAACCCUGAUGGUGCGACGCCGCGUGGGGGAAUGAAGGUCUUCGGAUUGUAAACCCCUGUCAUGUGGGAGCAAAUUAAAAAGAUAGUACCACAAGAGGAAGAGACGGCUAACUCUGUGCCAGCAGCCGCGGUAAUACAGAGGUCUCAAGCGUUGUUCGGAAUCACUGGGCGUAAAGCGUGCGUAGGCUGUUUCGUAAGUCGUGUGUGAAAGGCGCGGGCUCAACCCGCGGAAGGCACAUGAUACUGCGAGACUAGAGUAAGGGAGGGGGAACCGGAAUUCUCGGUGUAGCAGUGAAAUGCGUAGAUAUCGAGAGGAACACUCGUGGCGAAGGCGGGUUCCUGGACAUUAACUGACGCUGAGGCACGAAGGCCAGGGGAGCGAAAGGGAUUAGAUACCCGAGUAGUC
RNAcentral lists this ribosomal RNA (446 nucleotides) under uncultured bacterium. RNAcentral describes it as "partial 16S ribosomal RNA". It matches the Rfam family "Bacterial small subunit ribosomal RNA", at positions 338 to 795 of the family's 1533-position model. The record is from RNAcentral.